GUGCCAGCCGCCGCGGUAAGACGAAGGUGGCAAGCGUUGUUCGGAAUCACUGGGCUUAAAGGGCGCGUAGGCGGCCCGUCAAGCGUCUUGUGAAAUCCCCCGGCUCAACCGAGGAAUUGCAAGGCGAACUGGCGGGCUUGAGGCAGGUAGGGGCGAGUGGAACUCUUGGUGGAGCGGUGGAAUGCGUAGAUAUCAAGAGGAACGCCGGUGGUGAAGACGACUCGCUGGGCCUGUCCUGACGCUGAGGCGCGAAAGCCAGGGGAGCAAACGGGAUUAGAUACCCCGGUAGUCCUGGCCCUAAACGAUGUCCACUAGGUCGGAGGCCUUCUGACAGGGUUCCGGCCGAAACAAAAGCGAUAAGUGGACCGCCUGGGGAGUACGGUCGCAAGGCUAAAACUUAAAUGAAUUGACGGGG
Molecule: ribosomal RNA, 415 nt
Filed under: uncultured prokaryote
Description: bacterial SSU rRNA
Rfam family: Bacterial small subunit ribosomal RNA
Source: RNAcentral